Molecule: unclassified non-coding RNA, 220 nt
Filed under: Arabidopsis thaliana (thale cress)
Lineage: Eukaryota; Viridiplantae; Streptophyta; Magnoliopsida; Brassicales; Brassicaceae
Source: RNAcentral
AAAAAACAUUGAAAUAGCUCAUGUUGUCUCUUUCUCAUUUUCAUAUCUGCUAAAAAAAGAACCGUGUUUUCUAAACUGGUUUAACGGUAAGUACCUGUCUCUAGUAACUUACCUAUCAAUUUGUUCCAAUCAUUUACUUGCUUUGACUUAUUUGGUUUCCUUUUGUUUUGUUUUUCUUUAAUAUGUGGAUGGAGUUUGGUGUAAUAAGCAACUGAAGAGU